This 91-nucleotide transfer RNA is filed under the name Mycobacteroides abscessus subsp. massiliense. RNAcentral describes it as "tRNA-Gln(ttg)". Lineage: Bacteria; Bacillati; Actinomycetota; Actinomycetes; Mycobacteriales; Mycobacteriaceae. The record is from RNAcentral.
UCGUCGAAUUGGGUUGCGUGGGAGGUUAUUACAGCGUUUGUAGCUGCUAUCGGCUUCUUGAUGGCUGGCGUUCGGCUCGCUGUUCGGCGAG